UACGGGGGGAGCAAGCGUUGUUCGGAUUUACUGGGCGUAAAGGGCGCGUAGGCGGCGUGACAAGUCACUUGUGAAAUCUCCGGGCUUAACUCGGAACGGUCAAGUGAUACUGUCGGACUAGAGUACAGAAGGGGCAACUGGAAUUCUCGGUGUAGCGGUGAAAAUGCGCAGAUAUCGGGAGGAACACCAAUGGCGAAGGCAGCUUGCUGGGACGGUACUGACGCUGAGGCGCGAAAAGCGUGGGGGAGCAAACAGG
This 256-nucleotide ribosomal RNA is filed under the name uncultured bacterium. Its description in RNAcentral is "partial 16S ribosomal RNA". It matches the Rfam family "Bacterial small subunit ribosomal RNA", at positions 524 to 776 of the family's 1533-position model. The record is from RNAcentral.